Molecule: ribosomal RNA, 301 nt
Filed under: uncultured bacterium
Lineage: Bacteria
Description: partial 16S ribosomal RNA
Rfam family: Bacterial small subunit ribosomal RNA
Source: RNAcentral
CACAGCCGCGGUAAUACGUAGGGUGCAAGCGUUAAUCGGAAUUACUGGGCGUAAAGCGUGCGCAGGCGGUUAUAUAAGACAGAUGUGAAAUCCCCGGGCUCAACCUGGGAACUGCAUUUGUGACUGUAUAGCUAGAGUACGGCAGAGGGGGAUGGAAUUCCGCGUGUAGCAGUGAAAUGCGUAGAUAUGCGGAGGAACACCGAUGGCGAAGGCAAUCCCCUGGGCCUGUACUGACGCUCAUGCACGAAAGCGUGGGGAGCAAACAGGAUUAGAUACCCCAGUAGUCCCUGUCUCUUAUACA